GACGAACGCUGGCGGCGUGCUUAACACAUGCAAGUCGAACGGAAAGGCCCCUUCGGGGGUACUCGAGUGGCGAACGGGUGAGUAACACGUGAGUAACCUGCCCUUGACUUCGGGAUAACUUCAGGAAACUGGGGCUAAUACCGGAUAGGAAUCCUUGCUGCAUGGUGGGGGUUGGAAAGCUUCGGCGGUUUUGGAUGGACUCGCGGCUUAUCAGCUUGUUGGUGGGGUAGUGGCUUACCAAGGCCUUGACGGGUAGCCGGCCUGAGAGGGCGACCGGCCACAUUGGGACUGAGAUACGGCCCAGACUCCUACGGGAGGCAGCAGUGGGGAAUAUUGCACAAUGGGCGGAAGCCUGAUGCAGCAACGCCGCGUGCGGGAUGACGGCCUUCGGGUUGUAAACCGCUUUCAGCAGGGGCGAAGCUUGUGGUGACGGUACCUGCAGAAGAAGCACCGGCUAACUACGUG
This 465-nucleotide ribosomal RNA is filed under the name uncultured bacterium. RNAcentral describes it as "partial 16S ribosomal RNA". It matches the Rfam family "Bacterial small subunit ribosomal RNA", at positions 28 to 507 of the family's 1533-position model. The record is from RNAcentral.